CCCAGGAGUGAAAUGGAGAACUGCAGACCGUCACAUUGGAGUCUGUACUGAGCAAGAUGGAACUGGCAAUUCUGUGGCUGAGGGAGAUGGAGGUCGGCAGCCAGUGUUGGAGCAGAAGCCACAUCCUCGAGUUGCAGCAGCGCAGUUUGAUGCUGUGGUUGUGCCAGGGCUGCUGGGAGAAGAGCUGGGCUGCCUGAGAACUGAAGUCCUCUCAAGCUGGUGGAAGAGCUACAGUGUCAGGGUCUGCAGUGAAAGCAGGGUCCAUGCCAAGCAGGACGGAGGACUCUAAGGGGUCACAGCAGAGAGCUGCAUCCAUGGGAGCAUCCUGGAGCAACUGGCCACAUGGUGCUGACAUCCGAGAAGAU
Molecule: long non-coding RNA, 365 nt
Filed under: Phasianus colchicus (ring-necked pheasant)
Lineage: Eukaryota; Metazoa; Chordata; Aves; Galliformes; Phasianidae
Description: lncRNA (ENSPCLG00000008490.1)
Source: RNAcentral